Molecule: long non-coding RNA, 185 nt
Organism: Anarrhichthys ocellatus (wolf-eel)
Lineage: Eukaryota; Metazoa; Chordata; Actinopteri; Perciformes; Anarhichadidae
Exons: 2
Source: RefSeq, a predicted model, not a curated record
UAUGUUUAUAAUAAUCAUAAGGUGGUCUUUAUCUGUUCUGUGUCUAUAUGUUUAUAAUAAUCAUAAGAUGAUCUUUAUCUGUUCUGUGUCUAUAUGUUUAUAAUAAUCAUAAGGUGGUCUUUAUCUGUUCUGUGUCUGUAUGUUUAUAAUAAUCAUAAGGUGGUCUUUAUCUGUUCUGUGUCUAU